AAAAGUACCGAGUGGCUUUACGCCACGGGUUAAUGCACCGACAUCGGCCUUAGGGCACGUGACGUGUAAAAUUACUUGUUGAAACACUUUAUUUAUGCUUCGGUUGCAUCUUCCGUCUAAUCGCGGUUGGGUAAGUCGGCCAGAGGCACACUUUAAAACUAGUUGAUGAAAUGUCAUGCUGUCUGAUACUGUUUAGUAUUUGAGAAAUCGAAUAUAUAUUA
This 221-nucleotide unclassified non-coding RNA is filed under the name uncultured Orbiliales. RNAcentral's name for it is "sequence contains ITS1". The record is from RNAcentral. Lineage: Eukaryota; Fungi; Ascomycota; Orbiliomycetes; Orbiliales.